AUGCCUUAAACUGAUGAGUAAGGAAAAUAACGAUGCGGGGUGACGCCCGUAUCCUCGAUAACACUUCGAGAUGAAUUUUUGAAAGGGCACAGGUCUGUCUGCUGAGGUGACUCGCCUACUUUGCGAGAUGCCUCGUGGAUCUAGGACCUUCCCC
Small nuclear RNA from Epinephelus moara (kelp grouper), 154 nucleotides. RefSeq annotates it as U12 minor spliceosomal RNA. The transcript has a single exon. The record is from RefSeq and is a predicted model, not a curated record. NCBI's taxonomy places the organism in Eukaryota, Metazoa, Chordata, Actinopteri, Perciformes, Serranidae.